Molecule: ribosomal RNA, 1175 nt
Filed under: uncultured Sebacina
Lineage: Eukaryota; Fungi; Basidiomycota; Agaricomycetes; Sebacinales; Sebacinaceae
Description: eukaryotic LSU rRNA
Rfam family: Eukaryotic large subunit ribosomal RNA (bases 573-1175)
Source: RNAcentral
GUAGGUGAACCUGCGGAAGGAUCAUUAAUGAAACUUCAAAGUCGGCCAAAGGUUGUUGCUGGUGAUUAUUCACAUGUGCACGCCUUUGGUCGCAAAUCCACACACACCUGUGCAUCUAUGACUCGAGGUUGUAAUGACUGAGAGUAACUUUUACACACUCUUGUAUGUAAUGGAAUGUCUUUUUGUGCUAUAAUGUACAAUAUAAACAACUUUCAACAACGGAUCUCUUGGCUCUCGCAUCGAUGAAGAACGCAGCGAAAUGCGAUAAGUAAUGUGAAUUGCAGAAUUCAGUGAAUCAUCGAAUCUUUGAACGCACCUUGCACCCUUUGGUAUUCCGAAGGGUACGCCCGUUUGAGUGUCAUUGUAAUCUCACUUCUACAACUUUAUUGUUGUUUGAAUGUGGACUUGGAUGUUGCCGUUUUAUCACGGCUCGUCUCAAAUGCCUGAGUGUACCCUGUUUUGCAGCGUAUCCAGUGUAAUAAACAUUUCACUAGAGUUGGUCSAAAGACCGCGUUGACUAURUGGGCUCUAUGCUUCAAACCGUCUGCYAUGUGGACAAUUUCUUGACAAUUUGACCUCAAAUCGGGUGGGACUACCCGCUGAACUUAAGCAUAUCAAUAAGCGGAGGAAAAGAAACUAACAAGGAUUCCCCUAGUAACGGCGAGUGAAGAGGGAAAAGCUCAAAUUUUAAAUCUGGUGUCUUUGACUCCCGAGUUGUAAUCUAGAGAAGUGUUUUCCGUGUCGGACCGUGUACAAGUUCCCUGGAACGGGGCGUCAUAGAGGGUGAGAAUCCCGUAUAUGCCACGGACUACCGAUGCUCUGUGAUACACUCUCAACGAGUCGAGUUGUUUGGGAAUGCAGCUCAAAAUGGGUGGUAAAUUCCAUCUAAAGCUAAAUAUUGGCGAGAGACCGAUAGCGAACAAGUACCGUGAGGGAAAGAUGAAAAGCACUUUGGAAAGAGAGUGAAACAGUACGUGAAAUUGUUGAAAGGGAAGCGUUUGAAGUCAGUCGCAUCUGUUGGGGUUCAGCCUGGCUUUUGCCUGGUGUAUUUCCUUUCCGAUGGGUCAGCAUCAGUUUCGACCGAGGGAAAAAGACAUUUGGAAUGUGGCUGUCUUYGGGCAGUGUUAUAGCCUUGUGUUGUAUGUCUCGGUUGGGACUGAGGAUUGCAGCGCGCC